UUGGAUUGAGACAACGUACAACUCUUAUCGAUAAGCCAUUGGAGGGCAAGUCUGGUGCCAGCAGCCGCGGUAAUUCCAGCUCCAAUAGCGUAUAUUAACGUUGUUGCAGUUAAAAAGCUCGUAGUUGAAGUGUGGGUGAUCGCUGUUGUGUGACUUCGGUCUCUCGACAGUAAGUCACCCCCUUCCAGUAUCCAGUAGUGGGUAUUCAGUUACUUACUAUUGUGUGUUGGUCGUUUACUGUGAGAAAAUUAGAGUGUUCAAAGCAGGCGUUUGCUUGAAUAGAUUAGCAUGGAAUAAUAAUUGAAGGCUUUCGUGUUCGAUUUGAUUGGUUUGUUCAUGGAAGCAAGGUUAAAAGGAACAGUUGGGGGUAUUCAUAUUCACUAGUUAGAGGUGAAAUUCUCGGAUUUAUGGAAGAUGAACAAGUGGCGAAAGCAA
This 435-nucleotide ribosomal RNA is filed under the name Blastocystis sp. subtype 1. RNAcentral's name for it is "SSU rRNA". It matches the Rfam family "Eukaryotic small subunit ribosomal RNA", at positions 509 to 954 of the family's 1831-position model. The record is from RNAcentral. Lineage: Eukaryota; Bigyra; Opalinata; Blastocystidae.